GGAGAGGUGACCGAGAGGCCGAAGGUGUCUGAUUCGAAAUCAGAUGUAGCGCAAGCUACCGCGGGUUCGAAUCCCGCCCUCUCCUCUA
This 88-nucleotide transfer RNA is filed under the name Deltaproteobacteria bacterium. Its description in RNAcentral is "tRNA-Ser". It matches the Rfam family "tRNA". From Rfam's summary of the family: Transfer RNA (tRNA) molecules are approximately 80 nucleotides in length. Their secondary structure includes four short double-helical elements and three loops (D, anti-codon, and T loops). Lineage: Bacteria; Pseudomonadati; Myxococcota; Myxococcia. The record is from RNAcentral.